CAAAAGAGACCUAAAGAGUCCAAGAAAUAUGGUUCAACUCUACAGCAUAGACUUUGCUCAUUAGCUGAUACAUUGAUACACAGAGAUGGAGCAAAUUAUCUGCAAUUUAAGAACCUUAAUUCAAUGGACAUCCAGGCCAGAAUUUCUAAAAGCGAAGAAAAAUAUUUGACACAUUGCACAGGCUAGCUGAAGCAGCAUAUGGAUGAGCAUUGUUAGGGCACUGG
Molecule: non-coding RNA, 224 nt
Organism: Pelobates cultripes (western spadefoot toad)
Lineage: Eukaryota; Metazoa; Chordata; Amphibia; Anura; Pelobatidae
Source: the annotation of a GenBank genome assembly